RNAcentral lists this unclassified non-coding RNA (213 nucleotides) under Hevea brasiliensis (rubber tree). The record is from RNAcentral. Lineage: Eukaryota; Viridiplantae; Streptophyta; Magnoliopsida; Malpighiales; Euphorbiaceae.
GAAGAAGAAGAAGGAAAAGAAAAGCAAGUACAUUGAAGAUGGGGAAGGGCGCAAGCGCAAACUGGAUGAAAGCACUGAUAGCCCUACUUUUCAAGCUCCUGCUAAGAAAGUAAAAGUUGAAGAAGUUGAAAAGGAAGAGGUGAAGAAGGUAAAGGAAGGGAAAAUUGAGGAAAGUGAAGAUGAGAAGAAAGAGAAAAAGAAGAAGAAAAAGAA